RNAcentral lists this ribosomal RNA (253 nucleotides) under uncultured bacterium. Its description in RNAcentral is "partial 16S ribosomal RNA". It matches the Rfam family "Bacterial small subunit ribosomal RNA", at positions 524 to 776 of the family's 1533-position model. The record is from RNAcentral.
UACGUAGGGGGCUAGCGUUGUCCGGAAUCAUUGGGCGUAAAGCGCGCGUAGGCGGCCUGGUAAGUCCGCUGUGAAAGUCAAAGGCUCAACCUUUGAAUGUCAGCGGAUACUGCCAGGCUAGAGUCCGGAAGAGGCGAGUGGAAUUCCCGGUGUAGCGGUGAAAUGCGCAGAUAUCGGGAGGAACACCAAUGGCGAAGGCAGCUCGCUGGGACGGUACUGACGCUGAGACGCGAAAGCGUGGGGAGCAAACAGG